GGCGAUUUGCCGUGCCCGGAGACCGCAAAAGCAGAGGAUGAGGACAAUCCUCUUGAGGCGAGCUUGGAAUGGAGUCCCCUCCCACGCCGCCGAUUGACCUCACUGGUGAGCCUCGUCCGAUCCCAUUCGCGUCACAGUGGGACACUGAAUUCUAUGUGGAAUUCUAUCUGAUAUUUCCCUCGCUUAAUUUCCAGCUAUAGGCACUGGAGAUCGAGAUGUCCGUCUUCCCCACCAACUCCGGCUCAAACUGCGGCCCCCGCCGUCCUGCCUGCUCGGCUCUAUCACAGUGUUCAGCCACGCCGCCAACGCGUGCACCCCGUCACCGAGCAAGCAAGGAUCACCGCCUGCAUGCCUCGGGCCAUACCAGAGCCUGCGCCUAUGCCGGUGAGUUUAUGGGAUACCGUAGGCGAAGAUGACCGUGCUGUUUUGGCAGUUGCAUUGCCUGCACGGCUUAACCGUGCCAUGCCGCCAUGGCUACCAUUAUGC
RNAcentral lists this long non-coding RNA (486 nucleotides) under Triticum aestivum (bread wheat). RNAcentral describes it as "long non-coding RNA (TAES_LNC018353)". The record is from RNAcentral. Lineage: Eukaryota; Viridiplantae; Streptophyta; Magnoliopsida; Poales; Poaceae.